CAGCCGCCACGGUAAUACGGAGGGUGCAAGCGUUAAUCGGAAUUACUGGGCGUAAAGCGCACGCAGGCGGUCUGUCAAGUCAGAUGUGAAAUCCCCGGGCUUAACCUGGGAACUGCAUUUGAAACUGGCAGGCUAGAGUCUUGUAGAGGGGGGUAGAAUUCCAGGUGUAGCGGUGAAAUGCGUAGAGAUCUGGAGGAAUACCGGUGGCGAAGGCGGCCCCCUGGACAAAGACUGACGCUCAGGUGCGAAAGCGUGGGGAGCAAACAGGAUUAGAGACCCGUGUAGUCCCUGUCUCUUAUAA
This 301-nucleotide ribosomal RNA is filed under the name uncultured bacterium. RNAcentral describes it as "partial 16S ribosomal RNA". It matches the Rfam family "Bacterial small subunit ribosomal RNA", at positions 509 to 809 of the family's 1533-position model. The record is from RNAcentral.